GGCUUCCUGGUGAUUAACUCUGGCUGCGUUCUUCACACCAACUACACAAAAAGAGGCUGAAGAUUAAAUGUACCCCAUAUAUACAUCAGCCCAGGCCCCUUGAUUGGUCUGUAUUUUGAAUUGGAGGGACAUGG
Suncus etruscus (white-toothed pygmy shrew) is the source of this 134-nucleotide small nucleolar RNA. RefSeq annotates it as small nucleolar RNA SNORA51. Lineage: Eukaryota; Metazoa; Chordata; Mammalia; Eulipotyphla; Soricidae. The record is from RefSeq and is a predicted model, not a curated record. The transcript has a single exon.